CAGUCGCCGCGGUAAUACGCAGGUGGCAAACGUUGUCCGGAAUUAUUGGGCGUAAAGGGCUCGCAGGCGGUUUCUUAAGUCUGAUGUGAAAGCCCCCGGCUCAACCGGGGAGGGUCAUUGGAAACUGGGAAACUUGAGUGCAGAAGAGGAGAGUGGAAUUCCACGUGUAGCGGUGAAAUGCGUAGAGAUGUGGAGGAACACCAGUGGCGAAGGCGACUCUCUGGUCUGUAACUGACGCUGAGGAGCGAAAGCGUGGGGAGCGAACAGGAUUAGAUACCCCCGUAGUCCCUGUCUCUUAUAC
Molecule: ribosomal RNA, 301 nt
Filed under: uncultured bacterium
Lineage: Bacteria
Description: partial 16S ribosomal RNA
Rfam family: Bacterial small subunit ribosomal RNA
Source: RNAcentral